ACGGAGGAUCCAAGCGUUAUCCGGAAUCAUUGGGUUUAAAGGGUCCGUAGGUGGAUAAUUAAGUCAGGGGUGAAAGUCUGCAGCUCAACUGUAGAAUUGCCUUUGAUACUGGUUGUCUUGAAUUAUUAUGAAGUGGUUAGAAUAUGUAGUGUAGCGGUGAAAUGCAUAGAUAUUACAUAGAAUACCAAUUGCGAAGGCAGAUCACUAAUAAUAUAUUGACACUGAUGGACGAAAGCGUGGGUAGCGAACAGG
This 252-nucleotide ribosomal RNA is filed under the name uncultured bacterium. Its description in RNAcentral is "partial 16S ribosomal RNA". It matches the Rfam family "Bacterial small subunit ribosomal RNA", at positions 525 to 776 of the family's 1533-position model. The record is from RNAcentral.